This 75-nucleotide transfer RNA is filed under the name compost metagenome. RNAcentral describes it as "tRNA-Arg". It matches the Rfam family "tRNA". From Rfam's summary of the family: Transfer RNA (tRNA) molecules are approximately 80 nucleotides in length. Their secondary structure includes four short double-helical elements and three loops (D, anti-codon, and T loops). The record is from RNAcentral.
CUCCCGCUGGUGUAAAGGAUAACAUUAGUGACUACGAAUCAUUAGAUAGAGGUUCGAUUCCUCUGUGGGAGGCCA